UGAACGCUGGCGGCGUGCUUAACACAUGCAAGUCGAACGAGAACGGAUUAUAGCUUGCUAUAAUUGUCAGCUAAGUGGCGCACGGGUGAGUAAUAUAUAGGUAACGUGCCCCAAAGAAGAGGAUAACAGAUGGAAACGCCUGCUAAGACUCUAUAUGCCUUUAAGACUCAAGUCUGCAAGGGAAAUAUUUAUAGCUUUGGGAUCGGCCUGUACAGUAUCGGUUAGUUGGUGAGGUAAUGGCUCACCAAGACAAUGACGCUUAACUGGUUUGAGAGGAUGAUCAGUCACACUGGAACUGAGACACGGUCCAGACUCCUACGGGAGGCAGCAGUGGGGAAUAUUGCACAAUGGACGAAAGUCUGAUGCAGCAACGCCGCGUGGAGGAUGACACAUUUCGGUGCGUAAACUCCUUUUAUAUGGGAAGAUAAUGACGGUACCAUAUGAAUAAGCACCGGCUAACUCCGUGCCAGCAGCCGCGGUAAUACGGAGGGUGCAAGCGUUACUCGGAAUCACUGGGCGUAAAGAGCGUGUAGGCGGAUAGGUAAGUCAGAAGUGAAAUCCAAUAGCUCAACUAUUGAACUGCUUUUGAAACUGCUUAUCUAGAAUAUGGGAGAGGUAGAUGGAAUUUCUGGUGUAGGGGUAAAAUCCGUAGAGAUCAGAAGGAAUACCGAUUGCGAAGGCGAUCUACUGGAACAUUAUUGACGCUGAGACGCGAAAGCGUGGGGAGCAAACA
Molecule: ribosomal RNA, 733 nt
Filed under: uncultured Arcobacter sp.
Lineage: Bacteria; Pseudomonadati; Campylobacterota; Epsilonproteobacteria; Campylobacterales; Arcobacteraceae
Description: bacterial SSU rRNA
Rfam family: Bacterial small subunit ribosomal RNA
Source: RNAcentral